Molecule: ribosomal RNA, 480 nt
Filed under: uncultured bacterium
Lineage: Bacteria
Description: partial 16S ribosomal RNA
Rfam family: Bacterial small subunit ribosomal RNA
Source: RNAcentral
AUGCACGCUGGCGGCGUGCUUAACCCCUGCCAGUCGCACGAAGCACUUUAUUUGAUUUCCUUCGGGACUGAUUAUUUUGUGACUGAGUGGCGGACGGGUGAGUAACGCGUGGGUAACCUGCCUUGUACAGGGGGAUAACAGUUGGAAACGGCUGCUAAUACCGCAUAAGCGCACAGCAUCGCAUGAUGCAGUGUGAAAAACUCCGGUGGUAUAAGAUGGACCCGCGUUGGAUUAGCUAGUUGGUGAGGUAACGGCCCACCAAGGCGACGAUCCAUAGCCGACCUGAGAGGGUGACCGGCCACAUUGGGACUGAGACACGGCCCAAACUCCUACGGGAGGCAGCAGUGGGGAAUAUUGCACAAUGGGCGAAAGCCUGAUGCAGCGACGCCGCGUGAGCGAAGAAGUAUUUCGGUAUGUAAAGCUCUAUCAGCAGGGAAGAUAAUGACGGUACCUGACUAAGAAGCACCGGCUAAAUACGUG